UUCCCAGACUCCUACGGGAGGCAGCAGUGGGGAAUAUUGGGCAAUGGGCGCAAGCCUGACCCAGCAACGCCGCGUGAAGGAAGAAGGCUUUCGGGUUGUAAACUUCUUUUCUGGGGGACGAACAAUGACGGUACCCCAGGAAUAAGCCACGGCUAACUACGUGCCGGCAGCCGCGGUAAUACGUAGGUGGCAAGCGUUAUCUGGAUUUAUUGGGUGUAAAGGGCGUGUAGGCGGGAAUGCAAGUCAGAUGUGAAAACUCAGGGCUCAACCCUGAGCCUGCAUUUGAAACUGUGUUUCUUGAGUGCUGGAGAGGCAAUCGGAAUUCCGUGUGUAGCGGUGAAAUGCGUAGAUAUACGGAGGAACACCAGUGGCGAAGGCGGAUUGCUGGACAGUAACUGACGCUGAGGCGCGAAAGCGUGGGGAGCAAACAGGAUUAGAUACCCGUGUAG
This 449-nucleotide ribosomal RNA is filed under the name uncultured bacterium. Its description in RNAcentral is "bacterial SSU rRNA". It matches the Rfam family "Bacterial small subunit ribosomal RNA", at positions 328 to 793 of the family's 1533-position model. The record is from RNAcentral.